AUUCCUGAACUUCAGCCAACGCGUUUUGUGCUCUAACUUCAGCCAUUGAAGCUUCAAAAUCAACAUAAAACAAAUACUCAAAAUGCUUCGCAGUUCCAACAUUUGCAUCAUCAACAAGCCUAAUCGGACGGUUACGAUGUGGCCUUGAUUCAAUCUUCGUUAAACUAAUAUUCCUAAACGCAAAAGCUGAAAGCACUUUGAAAAGCACUGAAGUUCCUUUAUCAUGAGCGAAAACAAUACUUGUUUUAAAUGGACGAUCCGUACGUGGAAUUAUGGGUUCUCUGGCCAACAUAACGAAUCGGGUUACGUUACUUGGGUCAUCUUGAAUUCCAUCUGCUAAGAUAUUUAAUCCAUAAAGCUCGGCUGCACGUGCGCUGGCGAUAGCAGCAGUGUCGCGGAGAUUGUUAGUUGCAACAAACUCCGCAGCACCUGCAGUAUCGUCAACUGCUUCACGUGCGACGUUGAGGCCGAGUUUUGUUAAUGUGUGUUCGCAUUGAGAUAAAGCUUGUGGAUGAGAGAUGACACGUGUCAGAUAUUCUUUUCUGAUUCCGGGGAGAGCGAGGAGACAGUGAUGGACCGGGAGUUGAACUUCUCCGACGAUGUGGAGACGGUGACGGAGGAGGAGGUCGUAGUUACGGUGGAUUGAACCUCCGAGGGAAUUUUCUACCGGGAGAACAGCACGGUCGGCGAUCCAAAGCUCGACGGCUUGGAAAGCGACUUCGAAUUGGUCGCAAGGAAUUGCUUCGCAGUUUGGAUAAGCUUUUCCGGCGGCGGCUUCAGAGUAUGCUCCCGGGACUCCUUGGUAAGCGACGCGGAGAUUUGAGCCGUGCAUCGGUGCCGGAGCUAGGUCGGAGAUUGUUAACGGUUUUGGUGGAAGUGGCUUUGAAAUUUCUCCGGUGAGGUUCCCGAUGGGAACAAGCUGGAGAUCGGUGAUGUUUGUUUUGUGGCCGUUGAUAGCUGCAAAGUUUUCAUCGGCGCCGGCGUUGACGGCGGUGGAAGUGGAAGAUUGUUCUUGUGAAACAACUUUGCUAGAUAAGAUAGCGCAUGAGCUUUGCCAGUCGGUUCGGGUUGAACCGGUGUCAUAACUUGAACCGUAAGCACAUUUGACAGAAACACGGUUCGGACCAAGCCGGUUUGGAAAUUUCCACGGCCGUGUUAUUGUUAUGUGGUUGAAAUUGAGGGUGUUAGAAGAGGGAGGUGGAGAUAGAGUAUUCAUUAUUGAAAUGGGGGUGUUGAAAGCAAUUAAAAAUAGAAAGGGAAAAAGUGUGUGUUAUUGAAAUGAAGCUUGUGUUAUUCUCUUUUGGAGAAGGAAACAAGCUGAGAAAGAAGUGGAGGUGGUUAAGGGGUUUAAAUAUUAUUGUAAGAGUGUACCAAGUCUUGAAGGGAUGGUGCUUAUGGUCGUUCGGUCAAAUCUCAUACCUACCCCUUUUUUUUUUUUUUUAUGUAUUUAACUACCCACACACAUAUGUAUGUAUUUCG
RNAcentral lists this long non-coding RNA (1479 nucleotides) under Medicago truncatula (barrel medic). Its description in RNAcentral is "lncRNA gene11615". The record is from RNAcentral. Lineage: Eukaryota; Viridiplantae; Streptophyta; Magnoliopsida; Fabales; Fabaceae.